RNAcentral lists this ribosomal RNA (253 nucleotides) under uncultured bacterium. RNAcentral's name for it is "partial 16S ribosomal RNA". It matches the Rfam family "Bacterial small subunit ribosomal RNA", at positions 524 to 776 of the family's 1533-position model. The record is from RNAcentral.
UACGUAGGGCGCAAGCGUUGUCCGGAAUUAUUGGGCGUAAAGAGCUCGUAGGCGGCUUGUCACGUCGGGUGUGAAAGCCCGGGGCUUAACCCCGGGUCUGCAUUCGAUACGGGCUAGCUAGAGUGUGGUAGGGGAGAUCGGAAUUCCUGGUGUAGCGGUGAAAUGCGUAGAUAUCGGGAGGAACACCUGAGGCGAAGGCGGGCUACUGGGACGAUACUGACGCUGAUGCGCGAAAGCCAGGGGAGCGAACGGG